CAAUAGCGUAUAUUAAAGUUGUUGCGGUUAAAAAGCUCGUAGUUGGAUUUCUGCUGAGGACGAUCGGUCCGCCCACUGGGUGAGUAUCUGGCUCGGCCUUGGCAUCUUCUUGGAGAACGUUGCUGCACUUGACUGUGUGGUGCGGUAUCCAGGACUUUUACUUUGAGGAAAUUAGAGUGUUUCAAGCAGGCGCACGCCUUGAAUACAUUAGCAUGGAAUAAUAAGAUAGGACCUUAGUUCUAUUUUGUUGGUUUCUAGAGCUGAGGUAAUGAUUAAUAGGGAUAGUUGGGGGCAUUCGUAUUUAACUGUCAGAGGUGAAAUUCUUGGAUCUGUUAAAGACGGACUACUGCGAAAGCAUUUGCCAAGGAUGUUUUCAUUGA
RNAcentral lists this ribosomal RNA (380 nucleotides) under uncultured eukaryote. Its description in RNAcentral is "partial 18S ribosomal RNA". It matches the Rfam family "Eukaryotic small subunit ribosomal RNA", at positions 592 to 976 of the family's 1831-position model. The record is from RNAcentral.